GUACUGUUGAAGAGUCCCAAACUAGGACGAAACGGCUGUCCAGUAC
Molecule: non-coding RNA, 46 nt
Organism: Trichobilharzia regenti
Lineage: Eukaryota; Metazoa; Platyhelminthes; Trematoda; Strigeidida; Schistosomatidae
Source: Rfam